AACUACUUCCUGGGGCUAUGAGAUGAUGGGGAAAUUACAACCCCUCAACUACUUCCUGGGGCCAUGAGAUGACGGGGAAAUUACAACCCCUCAACUACUUCCUGACAGGGAAAUUACAACCCCUCAACUACUUCCUGGGAUUAUGAGAUGACAGGGAAAUUACAACCCCUCAACUACUUCCUGGGACUAUGAGAUGACGGGGAAAUUACAACCCCAAACUACUUCCUGGGGCUAUGAGAUGACAGGGAAAUUACAACCCCUCAACUACUUCCUGGGAUUAUGAGAUGACGGGGAAAUUACAAACCCUCAACUACUUCCUGGGAUUAUGAGAUGACAGGGAAAUUACAACCCCUCAACUACUUC
Long non-coding RNA from Oncorhynchus tshawytscha (Chinook salmon), 363 nucleotides. Lineage: Eukaryota; Metazoa; Chordata; Actinopteri; Salmoniformes; Salmonidae. The record is from Ensembl.